RNAcentral lists this ribosomal RNA (431 nucleotides) under uncultured bacterium. RNAcentral describes it as "partial 16S ribosomal RNA". It matches the Rfam family "Bacterial small subunit ribosomal RNA", at positions 29 to 507 of the family's 1533-position model. The record is from RNAcentral.
AACGAACGCUGGCGGCAGGCUUAACACAUGCAAGUCGAGCGCCCCGCCAGGGGAGCGGCAGCCGGGUGAGUAACGCGUGGGAACGUACCUUUUGGUUCGGAACAACUCCGGGACACUGGAGCUAAUACCGGAUAAGCCCUAACGGGGAAAGAUUUAUCGCCGAAAGAUCGGCCCGCGUCUGAUUAGCUAGUUGGUGAGGUAACGGCUCACCAAGGCGACGAUCAGUAGCUGGUCUGAGAGGAUGAUCAGCCACACUGGGACUGAGACACGGCCCAGACUCCUACGGGAGGCAGCAGUGGGGAAUAUUGGACAAUGGGCGCAAGCCUGAUCCAGCCAUGCCGCGUGAGUGAUGAAGGCCUUAGGGUUGUAAAGCUCUUUUGUCCGGGAAGAUAAUGACUGUACCGGAAGAAUAAGCCCCGGCUAACUUCGUG